AGGGAUUGCCUCAGUAACGGCGAGUGAAGCGGCAACAGCUCAAAUUUGAAAUCUGGUCCCCUUUGGGGGCCCGAGUUGUAAUUUGAAGAGGAUGCUUUUGGCGAGGCGCCGUCCGAGUUCCCUGGAACGGGACGCCGCAGAGGGUGAGAGCCCCGUACGGUCGGACGCCGAGCCUCUGUAAAGCUCCUUCGACGAGUCGAGUAGUUUGGGAAUGCUGCUCAAAAUGGGAGGUAAACCCCUUCUAAAGCUAAAUACCGGCCAGAGACCGAUAGCGCACAAGUAGAGUGAUCGAAAGAUGAAAAGCACUUUGAAAAGAGAGUUAAAAAGCACGUGAAAUUGUUAAAAGGGAAGCGCUUGCGACCAGACUUGCGCCCGUCGGAUCAACCGUCGCUUGCGGCGGCGCACUCCGGCGGGCUCAGGCCAGCAUCAGUUCGCUCGGGGGGAGAAAGGCGGCGGGAAUGUAGCUCCUCGGAGUGUUAUAGCCCGCCGUGUAAUACCCUCGGGUGGACUGAGGACCGCGCGUAUGCAAGGAUGCUGGCGUAAUGGUCGUCAGCGACCCGUCUUGAAACACGGACCAAGGAGUCGUCCUAAUAUGCGAGUGUACGGGUGUCAAACCCCUGCGCGUAAUGAAAGUGAACGGAGGUGAGAGCUUCGGCGCAUCAUCGACCGAUCCUGAUGUUAUCGGAUGGAUUUGAGUAAGAGCAUAUUGGGCCGGACCCGAAAGAAGGUGAACUAUGCCUGUGUAGGGUAAAGCCAGAGGAAACUCUGGUGGAGGCUCGCAGCGGUUCUGACGUGCAAAUCGAUCGUCAAACAUGGGCAUGGGGGCGAAAGACUAAUCGAACCUUCUAGUA
This 851-nucleotide ribosomal RNA is filed under the name Scopulariopsis candida. RNAcentral describes it as "LSU rRNA". It matches the Rfam family "Eukaryotic large subunit ribosomal RNA", at positions 70 to 949 of the family's 3401-position model. Lineage: Eukaryota; Fungi; Ascomycota; Sordariomycetes; Microascales; Microascaceae. The record is from RNAcentral.